This 53-nucleotide ribosomal RNA is filed under the name Hypoxylon subdisciforme. Its description in RNAcentral is "partial 18S ribosomal RNA". The stretch from base 1 to 44 matches the Rfam family "Eukaryotic small subunit ribosomal RNA", at positions 1788 to 1831 of the family's 1831-position model. Lineage: Eukaryota; Fungi; Ascomycota; Sordariomycetes; Xylariales; Hypoxylaceae. The record is from RNAcentral.
GUCGUAACAAGGUCUCCGUUGGUGAACCAGCGGAGGGAUCAUUACUGAGUUCU